This 517-nucleotide ribosomal RNA is filed under the name uncultured bacterium. Its description in RNAcentral is "bacterial SSU rRNA". It matches the Rfam family "Bacterial small subunit ribosomal RNA", at positions 25 to 518 of the family's 1533-position model. The record is from RNAcentral.
CAGGACGAACGCUGGCGGCGUGCCUAACACAUGCAAGUCGAACGGGGAUUUGUUUCGGCAGAAUCCUAGUGGCGAACGGGUGAGUAACGCGUAGGCAACCUGCCCUCCGGCCGGGGGACAACACUCCGAAAGGGGGUGCUAAUACCGGAUACGAAGUCUGUGCCGCAUGGUACGGAUUUGAAAGAUGGCCUCUAUUUAUAAGCUAUCGCCGGGGGAUGGGCCUGCGUCCGAUUAGCUGGUUGGUGGGGUAACGGCCUACCAAGGCGACGAUCGGUAGCCGGUCUGAGAGGAUGAACGGCCACAUUGGGACUGAGACACGGCCCAGACUCCUACGGGAGGCAGCAGUGGGGAAUCUUCCGCAAUGGGCGCAAGCCUGACGGAGCAACGCCGCGUGAGUGAGGAAGUUCUUCGGAACGUAAAGCUCUGUUGUUCCUGACGAACCUCCCUUCUAUCAACAACGGAAGGGACUGACGGUAGGGAACGAGGAAGCCACGGCUAACUACGUGCCAGCAGCGGC